UACAGAGGGCCCAAGCGUUGUUCGGAUUCAUUGGGCGUAAAGGGUGCGUAGGCGGCGCGGUAAGUCGGGUGUGAAAUCUCGGAGCUUAACUCCGAAACUGCAUUCGAUACUGCCGUGCUUGAGGACUGGAGAGGAGACUGGAAUUUACGGUGUAGCGGUGAAAUGCGUAGAUAUCGUAAGGAAGACCAGUGGCGAAGGCGGGUCUCUGGACAGUUCCUGACGCUGAGGCACGAAGGCGAGGGGAGCAAACAGG
This 253-nucleotide ribosomal RNA is filed under the name uncultured bacterium. Its description in RNAcentral is "partial 16S ribosomal RNA". It matches the Rfam family "Bacterial small subunit ribosomal RNA", at positions 524 to 776 of the family's 1533-position model. The record is from RNAcentral.